RNAcentral lists this ribosomal RNA (256 nucleotides) under uncultured bacterium. RNAcentral describes it as "partial 16S ribosomal RNA". It matches the Rfam family "Bacterial small subunit ribosomal RNA", at positions 524 to 776 of the family's 1533-position model. The record is from RNAcentral.
UACGGAGGGUGCAAGCGUUUGUCCGGAUUUAUUGGGUUUAAAGGGGUGCGUAGGCGGCUUUUUUAAGUCAGUGGUGAAAUACAGCAGCUCAACUGUUGAGGUGCCAUUGAUACUGAGAGGCUUGAGUACAGAUGAGGUAGGCGGAAUUUAUGGUGUAGCGGUGAAAUGCAUAGAUACCAUAAAGAACACCGAUUGCGAAGGCAGCUUACUAAGCUGUAACUGACGCUGAGGCACGAAAGCGUGGGGAGCGAACAGG